AUUGAACGCUGGCGGCAGGCCUAACUCAUGCAAGUCGAACAGUAACAGGAAGCAGCUUGCUGCUUCGCUGACGAGUGGCGGACGGGUGAGUAAUGUCUGGGAAACUGCCUGGUGGAGGGGGAUAACUACUGGAAACGGUAGCUAAUACCGCAUAACGUCGCAAGACCAAAGAGGGGGACCUUCGGGCCUCUUGCCAUCGGAUGUGCCCAGAUGGGAUUAGCUAGUAGGUGGGGUAACGGCUCACCUAGGCGACGAUCCCUAGCUGGUCUGAGAGGAAGACCAGCCACACUGGAACUGAGACACGGUCCAGACCCCUACGGGAGGCAGCAGUGGGGAAUAUUGCACAAUGGGCGCAAGCCUGAUGCAGCCAUGCCGCGUGUAUGAAGAAGGCCUUCGGGUUGUAAAGUACUUUCAGCGGGGAGGAAGGCGAUAAGGUUAAUAACCUUGUCGAUUGACGUUACCCGCAGAAGAAGCACCGGCUAACUCCGUGCCAGCCGCCGCAGUAA
Molecule: ribosomal RNA, 506 nt
Filed under: uncultured bacterium
Lineage: Bacteria
Description: partial 16S ribosomal RNA
Rfam family: Bacterial small subunit ribosomal RNA
Source: RNAcentral